GUGCCAGCAGCCGCGGUAAUACCAGCUGCACAAGUGUAUAUUAAAGUUGUUGCAGUUAAAAAGCUCGUAGUUGGAUAUCUGUCUUGACUGACCUAGCCCUAGGUCCUUCGGGAUUCUGGAGUGCUGGUUGUAGUGAUUGACCUAUUUCGGUAGUGUUGUCACUCGUCAUGUCAGACAUACUUCAGGAAAUCUAUCCUGCCUUUAAUUAGGUUGGGUAAGGAUCCUGAUCGUUUACUUCGAAAAAAUUAGAGUGUUUAACGCAGGCAUUAUCGUCGCGAAUAUAUUAGCAUGGAAUAAUAAGAUAGGACUUCGGCAUCGUUAGUGGGUGCCUCUUUGUGUGGCUUGCUCGUGCUCUUCGGAGUGCGUUGCUUGUUGCGUGAGUUGGBUCAACGCUCGCUAGCCGUUCUA
Molecule: ribosomal RNA, 408 nt
Filed under: uncultured eukaryote
Lineage: Eukaryota
Description: bacterial SSU rRNA
Rfam family: Eukaryotic small subunit ribosomal RNA
Source: RNAcentral